This 301-nucleotide ribosomal RNA is filed under the name uncultured bacterium. Its description in RNAcentral is "partial 16S ribosomal RNA". It matches the Rfam family "Bacterial small subunit ribosomal RNA", at positions 509 to 808 of the family's 1533-position model. The record is from RNAcentral.
CAGCAGCCGCGGUAACACGUAGGUGGCAAGCGUUGUCCGGAAUUACUGGGCGUAAAGCGCGCGCAGGCGGUUUCUUAAGUCUGAUGUGAAAGCCCCCGGCUUAACCGGGGAGGGUCAUUGGAAACUGGGAGACUUAGAGUGCAGAAGAGGAGAGUGGAAUUCCAUGUGUAGCGGUGAAAUGCGUAGAUAUAUGGAGGAACACCAGUGGCGAAGGCGACUCUCUGGUCUGUAACUGACGCUGAGGCGCGAAAGCGUGGGGAGCAAACAGGAUUAGAUACCCCAGUAGUCCCUGUCUCUUAUA